UACGGAGGGUGCAAGCGUUAUCCGGAUUCACUGGGUUUAAAGGGUGCGUAGGCGGGCAGGUAAGUCAGUGGUGAAAUCUUCGAGCUUAACUCGGAAACUGCCGUUGAUACUAUCUGUCUUGAAUACUCGGGAGGUGAGCGGAAUAUGUCAUGUAGCGGUGAAAUGCUUAGAUAUGACAUAGAACACCAAUCGCGAAGGCAGCUCACUGGAGAGUCACUGACGCUGAGGCACGAAAGCGUGGGGAUCAAACAGG
This 253-nucleotide ribosomal RNA is filed under the name uncultured bacterium. RNAcentral describes it as "partial 16S ribosomal RNA". It matches the Rfam family "Bacterial small subunit ribosomal RNA", at positions 524 to 776 of the family's 1533-position model. The record is from RNAcentral.